GACGUAGGGCGCGAGCGUUGUCCGGAUUUAUUGGGCGUAAAGAGCUCGUAGGCGGCUUGUCGCGUCGUCUGUGAAAUCCCGCGGCUCAACCGCGGGUCUGCAGUCGAUACGGGCAGGCUAGAGUUCGGUAGGGGAGACUGGAAUUCCCGGUGUAGCGGUGAAAUGCGCAGAUAUCAGGAGGAACACCGAUGGCGAAGGCAGGUCUCUGGGCCAUAACUGACGCUGAGAAGCGAAAGCAUGGGGAGCGAACAGG
This 253-nucleotide ribosomal RNA is filed under the name uncultured bacterium. RNAcentral's name for it is "partial 16S ribosomal RNA". It matches the Rfam family "Bacterial small subunit ribosomal RNA", at positions 524 to 776 of the family's 1533-position model. The record is from RNAcentral.